This 75-nucleotide transfer RNA is filed under the name Sphingobacteriales bacterium. Its description in RNAcentral is "tRNA-Val". It matches the Rfam family "tRNA". From Rfam's summary of the family: Transfer RNA (tRNA) molecules are approximately 80 nucleotides in length. The record is from RNAcentral. Lineage: Bacteria; Pseudomonadati; Bacteroidota; Sphingobacteriia; Sphingobacteriales. RNAcentral also lists the same sequence under 1 other name.
GGGCGAUUAGCUCAGCCGGUUCAGAGCACCUGCCUUACAAGCAGGGGGUCACUAGUUCGAAUCUAGUAUCGCCCA